RNAcentral lists this microRNA precursor (74 nucleotides) under Bombyx mori (domestic silkworm). Its description in RNAcentral is "mir-2807 microRNA precursor family". It matches the Rfam family "mir-2807 microRNA precursor family". The record is from Rfam by way of RNAcentral. Lineage: Eukaryota; Metazoa; Arthropoda; Insecta; Lepidoptera; Bombycidae.
CUAACUCAAAUUAGUAUGGAGUUGGAACGUUUUCCGCUAGGGGCGCUGUUUGAACUGCAUACAAAUUUGAGUUA